AGUCAUCAACCCAACCCGUUUUGUGAACGGGGGAAGGUUGGAUUAAUGGGGGCUUGCUGCCGUAGAGGGCAGCUCCCCUUAAAUGUGUCGGUUGGGCCAGUGGUCUGCACCCGAUUGGGCGUUGUAACACCCUCGCUCUGGGUCGGGGCCCCCGUCCGAGCCCUCCCGCCGACCGCCUCCGGGGUGGCGGUCAAACCGAUCUUUUGAA
Molecule: unclassified non-coding RNA, 208 nt
Filed under: uncultured Basidiomycota
Lineage: Eukaryota; Fungi; Basidiomycota
Description: sequence contains ITS2
Source: RNAcentral